Erinaceus europaeus (western European hedgehog) is the source of this 116-nucleotide non-coding RNA. Lineage: Eukaryota; Metazoa; Chordata; Mammalia; Eulipotyphla; Erinaceidae. The record is from Rfam.
UGCUACAGGUUUCUCUUCAGAUCACACAAAUCUUUUGUCUUUUACUAAAGAUUUCCAUUGAGAGAAACAAAUCUGAGUUUCAGCUCAGUUUUCUGAUACCCUGUUAUGCCAGGGUU